UACGUAGGGUGCAAGCGUUGUCCGGAAUUAUUGGGCGUAAAGAGCUCGUAGGCGGUCUGUCGCGUCUGGUGUGAAAAUCCAGGGCUUAACCCUGGACCUGCAUCGGGUACGGGCAGACUAGAGUGCGGUAGGGGAGAUCGGAAUUCCUGGUGUAGCGGUGAAAUGCGUAGAUAUCAGGAGGAACACCGGUGGUGUAAACGGCUUUCUGGACCAUAACUGACGCUGAGGCACGAAAGCGUGGGUAGCAAACAGG
Molecule: ribosomal RNA, 253 nt
Filed under: uncultured bacterium
Lineage: Bacteria
Description: partial 16S ribosomal RNA
Rfam family: Bacterial small subunit ribosomal RNA
Source: RNAcentral